CGGUACCUUUUACUUUCUUGGUGGCACACCUGUUCCUCAUUAGUAAUUAGCUCCUUCAGCUCCACUUGUUUGUUCAUUCAACACGUUUGCUGUUUGUUUGCUGCUACUUCUUUUGUUCCUGGGUUUUGGCUUUCUAUCUGUACAUCGCUGUCCGUCCCUGCAACUCGGGGUCACACCGCCAUGCGUGAUGAGAUUCCGAUGAUAUUCAGGAGGAUAUUAAGAACAACACCACCAACAACACGUUCAAAGGCUGAGGAGAUAAAAAAAAGUCCCCCUGAGGUAAAAGGAUUUCUGGUGUUGGACUGUUGCCUUGCUCAGUGUGCCCUGGCCCUUCCACCUGCCGACCUCUGAGGAAUCUUUUUUGUCCAUAUUACAUGGUUCAUGGACUUCUUGUCCCUGGCUACUAACGUGCGCCACGUGGGACAGAUGGGUAGCCAACCCAUGCUGGCAAGUGACGGCUGGACUGGACGCACCAGUUCCAUUUGCAACAAAACAGGCCCAGAGCAUAAUACUAGCACCACCAUGCUUGACGAUGGACAAAGGUAACACCUUCUGGAGGAAAGUUCUGUGGUCAUUGGAGGCAAAGAUAGAGGUUCUGAAGCGGACCAACCAGAGGCGACGUAAGCAACAUCCCUGCCAGGAAAGAGACGGGCGGCGGCCUUGCAAGAGAGAGAAUCACAGCUGCUGGUAAUAUCCCACACCUCAAGAGGCAGAUCUCAGACGUCCGGAGGAAGAUGUCAACCAGCGGCAUCAGCUGGAGCAAAAAAACAGGGAUGUGCAGCGCCCACAACAUAUCCACCUGGAGCAGGAGGCAACGGGGCAGCUCGGAAAUUGGACUGUGGUAAGUCGGGGUACCGCUGACAGAUAUGGUAGCCACAAGCGCCUGCUCGCUCACGUACACCACCCCAGUCCAUAAGGAAUCAGGACACCGUUAAUGUUUUUUCCAUUUAUGAUUAAUCAUAUACCUUAUUAACUGUUAAAAGGUUGUUAACUCAACUGCAGAGUGCACCGGGCAUCAAUCAGGUGUCCAAAUUGUGGCCCAGGAAACAAAAAUGCUCAUUUUUUAUUGUUCGAGAAAUACACUUCCAAAAAAAUAAGAAUGCAAUGUAAAACGUUUUGAAACAUUUUAAACUGCUUAUUUGCAUCUUGGAUUGGUUUAAGUUUUUGUUUUUUCUGUUUUACAAAAUAAUCACACAUUUUUUGAUUUAUUAGUAGGCAGCCUUGGGUGGAGAAAUUUUGGACCCUGAUAUACAAACCCCGUUUCCAUUUGAGUUGGGGAAAUUGUGUUUGAUGUAAAUAUAAACGGAAUAAAAUGAUUUGCAAAUCGUUUUCAACCCAUAUUCUGUUGCAUAUGCUACAAAGACAACAUAUUUAAUGUUCAAACUGACAAACACUUUUUUUUUUGCAAAUAAUCAUUAACUUUAGAAUUGGAUGCCAGCAACACGUGACAGAGAAGUUGGUAAAGGUGGCAAUAAAUACUGAUAAAGUUGAGGAAAUCUCAUCAAACACUUAUUUGGAACAUCCCACAGGUGUGCAGGCUAAUUGGGAAUAGGUGGGUGCCAUGAUUGGGUAUAAAAAUAGCUUCCGUGAAAUGCUCAGUCAUUCACAAACAAGGAUUGGGAAAUGGUCACCACUUUGUGAACAAAUGCGUGAGCAAAAUGUCAAACAGUUUGAGAACAACAUUUCUUAAUGGGCUAUUGCAAGAAAUUUAGGAAUUUCACCAUCUACGGUCUGUAAAAUCAUCAAAAGGUUCAGAGAAUCUGGAGAAAUCACUGCACGUAAGCGAUGAUAUAACGGACCUUCGUUCCCUCAGGUGGUAUUGCAUCAAAAAGCGACAUCAGUGUGUAAAGGAUAUCACCACAUGGGCUCAAGAACACUUCAGAAAACCACUGUCAGUAACUACAGUUUGUCGCUACAUCUGUAAGUGCAAGUUAAAACUACUAUGCAAAGCCAAAGUCUUUUAUCAAAAACACCCAGAAACGCCGCCGGCUUCGCUUGGCCCGAGCUCAGCUAAGAUGGACUGAUGCAAAGUGGAAAAGUGUUCUGUGGUCUGACGAGUCCACAUUUCAAAUUGUUUUUUGGAAACAGUGAGCGUCGUGUCCUCUGGACCAAAGAGGAAAAUAACCAUCAGGACUGUUCUAGGUGCAAAGUUCAUAAGCCAGCAUCUGUGAUGGUAUGGGGGUGUAUUAGUGCCCAAGGCAUGGGUAACUUAGACAUCUGUGAAGGCACCAUUAAUGCUGAAAGGUACAUACAGGUUUUGGAGCAACAUAUGUUGUCAUCCAAGCAACGUUAUCUUUCACGCCCCUGCUUAUUUCAGCAAGACAAUGCCAAGUCACUUGUUACAACAGGGUGGGUUCGGAGCAAAACAGUGCGGGUACUAGACUGGCUUGCCUGUAGUCCAGACCUGUCUCCCAUUGAAAAUGUGUGGCGCAUUAUGAAGCCUAAAAUACCACAACGGAGACCCUGGACUGUUGAACAACUUAAGCUGUACAUAAAACAAGAAUGAGAAAGAAUUCCACCUGAAAAGCUUCAAAAAUGUGUGUCCUUAGUUCCCAAAGGUUUAUUGAGUGUUGUUAAAAUAAAAGGUGAUGUAGCACAAUGGUGAACAUGCCCUUUCCCAACUACGUUGGCACGUGUUGCAGCCAUGAAAUUCUAAGUUAAUUGUUUGCAAAAAAAAAAAUCAUUACUUUUGUAGUACAUGUAAUUGAAUAUGGGUUGAAAACUAUUUGCAAAUCAUUGUAUUCCGUUUAUAUUUACAUCUAACACAAUUUCCCAACUCAUAUGGAAAAUGAAUAAUAUUACAUUAUAUUUAUUUUACACAAAGAAUAAUGCUUAAUACAAGUAAUAAACAUCACACAAAUGUGUACCUUAUCACCAGAAUUUAAUUGAAUAAAAAAAUAAUUAACAUCUAUAUUAAGUACCCAUGAUUGUCACACACACAUACUAUUAUUUUCUGCAUU
This is a long non-coding RNA of Nerophis ophidion (straightnose pipefish), 2960 nucleotides long. RefSeq lists it as uncharacterized. The record is from RefSeq and is a predicted model, not a curated record. Lineage: Eukaryota; Metazoa; Chordata; Actinopteri; Syngnathiformes; Syngnathidae. The transcript is spliced from 5 exons.